Molecule: long non-coding RNA, 520 nt
Organism: Oncorhynchus tshawytscha (Chinook salmon)
Lineage: Eukaryota; Metazoa; Chordata; Actinopteri; Salmoniformes; Salmonidae
Source: Ensembl
GUUUUUGCAGAACUGCAGGAGUUACAAGUCCUUAAUCCCGACUUCUCCAGCGUAAGUUUCCUAGGUGUUUGUCUGGAUGGUUAUCCCCUCAAUAACAUUUCCGUGCCACUCACUGACAUGUGCCACCUUUCUUUUUCUUUUUCUAUUUGUAGAAGGAAUCACUGUCGCUGCUUACCCCAACCCAAGUGGCACAAUUGACAUUGACCUCUGGGGCGUUGAAUGACACAGAUGACAUUAAACUUGUGUUUACGCGGCUGGAGGAAGGAGACGCUUUCAAAAAUGUUGAUGAGUUUCUGACGCAACUGACCGCAAAGGAAGAGAUUCCUGACAUCCAUCCAGCCGUGAGAGAUGUGAUGAUGAAUCAGACGUUCAACAUCAUCAGCCUUCAAUUCCCAGAGUUCGAAACGCUGGACUGGAUUGCAUGGUUCGAAGUAAAGCUGAUUCCCAUCCUCCCCAGUUUUAAUGAAGUCAUGCUCACCAUUGCUACCUCAAACGUCAACUGCACCAACUACCAAGUCAU